AUUGAACGCUGGCGGCAUGCCUUACACAUGCAAGUCGAACGGUAACAGCACUUCGGUGGCUGACGAGUGGCGGACGGGUGAGUAAUACAUCGGAACGUGCCCGAUCGUGGGGGAUAACUACUCGAAAGAGUGGCUAAUACCGCAUACGAUCUACGGAUGAAAGCGGGGGAUCGCAAGACCUCGCGCGGACGGAGCGGCCGAUGGCAGAUUAGGUAGUUGGUGGGAUAAAAGCUUACCAAGCCGACGAUCUGUAGCUGGUCUGAGAGGACGACCAGCCACACUGGGACUGAGACACGGCCCAGACUCCUACGGGAGGCAGCAGUGGGGAAUUUUGGACAAUGGGGGAAACCCUGAUCCAGCCAUGCCGCGUGCAGGAUGAAGGCCUCGGUUGUAACUGCUUUGUACGGACGAAAGAACUCUUUCUAAUACAGAGGGUCCAUGACGGUACCGUAAGAAUAAGCACCGGCUAACUACGUGCCAGCAGCCGCGGUAAACU
RNAcentral lists this ribosomal RNA (496 nucleotides) under uncultured bacterium. RNAcentral's name for it is "bacterial SSU rRNA". It matches the Rfam family "Bacterial small subunit ribosomal RNA", at positions 30 to 526 of the family's 1533-position model. The record is from RNAcentral.